AACGAACGCUGGCGGCAUGCCUAACACAUGCAAGUCGAACGAGACCUUCGGGUCUAGUGGCGCACGGGUGCGUAACGCGUGGGAAUCUGCCCUUAGGUACGGAAUAACUCAGGGAAACUUGAGCUAAUACCGUAUAAUGACUCCGGUCCAAAGAUUUAUCGCCUAAGGAUGAGCCCGCGUCGGAUUAGCUAGUUGGUGAGGUAAAAGCUCACCAAGGCGACGAUCCGUAGCUGGCUGAGAGGAUGAUCAGCCACACUGGGACUGAGACACGGCCCAGACUCCUACGGGAGGCAGCAGUGGGGAAUAUUGGACAAUGGGCGAAAGCCUGAUCCAGCAAUGCCGCGUGAGUGAUGAAGGCCUUAGGGUUGUAAAGCUCUUUACCCGGGAUGAUAAUGACAGUACCGGAGAAU
Molecule: ribosomal RNA, 410 nt
Filed under: uncultured bacterium
Lineage: Bacteria
Description: bacterial SSU rRNA
Rfam family: Bacterial small subunit ribosomal RNA
Source: RNAcentral